UGCAUGAAGUCGGAAUUGCUAGUAAUCGUAGGUCAGCAUACUACGGUGAAUACGUUCCCGGGCCUUGUACACACCGCCCGUCAAACCAUGAGAGUUGGCAACACCCGAAGUCGGUAGUCUAACCGCAAGGAGGACGCCGCCGAAGGUGGGGUUGAUGAUUAGGGUUAAGUCGUAACAAGGUAAC
This 184-nucleotide ribosomal RNA is filed under the name uncultured bacterium. RNAcentral's name for it is "partial 16S ribosomal RNA". It matches the Rfam family "Bacterial small subunit ribosomal RNA", at positions 1317 to 1500 of the family's 1533-position model. The record is from RNAcentral.